Molecule: transfer RNA, 67 nt
Filed under: Coptosoma parvipictum
Lineage: Eukaryota; Metazoa; Arthropoda; Insecta; Hemiptera; Plataspidae
Description: tRNA-Trp
Source: RNAcentral
AAAGCUUUAAGUUAUAAAAACUAUUAACCUUCAAAGUUAAAAAAACAUUAUCUAUAUGUAAGCUUUA